This 497-nucleotide ribosomal RNA is filed under the name uncultured bacterium. RNAcentral describes it as "partial 16S ribosomal RNA". It matches the Rfam family "Bacterial small subunit ribosomal RNA", at positions 28 to 507 of the family's 1533-position model. The record is from RNAcentral.
GAUGAACGCUGGCGGCGUGCCUAAUACAUGCAAGUCGAGCGAACGGACGAGAAGCUUGCUUCUCUGAUGUUAGCGGCGGACGGGUGAGUAACACGUGGAUAACCUACCUAUAAGACUGGGAUAACUUCGGGAAACCGGAGCUAAUACCGGAUAAUAUUUUGAACCGCAUGGUUCAAAAGUGAAAGACGGUCUUGCUGUCACUUAUAGAUGGAUCCGCGCUGCAUUAGCUAUUUGGUAAGGUAACGGCUUACCAAGGCAACGAUGCAUAGCCGACCUGAGAGGGUGAUAGGCCACACUGGAACUGAGACACGGUCCAGACUCCUACGGGAGGCAGCAGUAGGGAAUCUUCCGCAAUGGGCGAAAGCCUGACGGAGCAACGCCGCGUGAGUGAUGAAGGUCUUCGGAUCGUAAAACUCUGUUAUUAGGGAAGAACAUAUGUGUAAGUAACUGUGCACAUCUUGACGGUACCUAAUCAGAAAGCCACGGCUAACUACGUG